Small nucleolar RNA from Carlito syrichta (Philippine tarsier), 35 nucleotides. NCBI's taxonomy places the organism in Eukaryota, Metazoa, Chordata, Mammalia, Primates, Tarsiidae. The record is from Ensembl.
UGAUGAAUAAAAUCAAAUCACCAUCUUUCGGCUGA